GAAACGACUGCUAAGACUGGAUAGGAAGAUAAAAGGCAUCUUUUAUCUUUUAAAAGACCUAGUAAUAGGUAUGCUUUAGGAGGGGCUUGCGCCAUAUUAGUUAGUUGGUAGGGUAAUGGCCUACCAAGACGAUGAUAUGUAGCUGGACUGAGAGGUUGAACAGCCACAUUGGGACUGAGACACGGCCCAAACUCCUACGGGAGGCAGCAGUAGGGAAUUUUCGGCAAUGGAGGAAACUCUGACCGAGCAACGCCGCGUGAAUGACGAAGUACUUCGGUAUGUAAAGUUCUUUUAUCAAGGAAGAAAAGCAAAUGGCGAACCAUUUGUUUGCCGGUACUUGAUGAAUAAGCCCCGGCUAAUUAUGUGCCAGCAGCCGCGGUAAGACAUAAGGGGCAAGUGUUAUCCGGAAUUAUUGGGCGUAAAGGGUGCGUAGGCGGUCUAGUAAGUCAGUGGUGUAAUGGCAACGCUUAACGUUGUCCGGCUAUUGAAACUGCUAAACUUGAGUUAGAUAGAGGCGAGUGGAAUUCCAUGUGUAGCGGUAAAAUGCGUAAAUAUAUGGAGGAACACCAGAGGCGUAGGCGGCUCGCUGGGUCUUAACUGACGCUGAGGCACGAAAGCGUGGGGAGCAAACAGGAUUAGAUACCCUGGUAGUCCACGCCGUAAACGAUGAGUACUAAGUGUCGGGUUAAACCGGUACUGAAGUUAACACAUUAAGUACUCCGCCUGAGUAGUACGUACGCAAGUAUGAAACUUAAAGGAAUUGACGGGACUCCGCACAAGCGGUGGAUCAUGUUGUUUAAUUCGAAGAUACCCGAAAAACCUUACCAGGUCUUGACAUGUUUUUGCAAAAUGAUAGUAAUAUCGUGGAGGUUACCAGAAACACAGGUGGUGCAUGGUUGUCGUCAGCUCGUGUCGUGAGAUGUUAGGUUAAGUCCUAAAACGAGCGAAACCCUUAUCGUUAGUUGCCAGCACGUUAUGGUGGGGACUUUAACGAGACUGCCAAUGAUAAAUUGGAGGAAGGUGAGGAUCACGUCAAAUCAGCAUGCCCCUUAUGACCUGGGCUACAAACGUGAUACAAUGGCUGUUACAAAGGGUAGCUGAAACGCAAGUUCUUGGCCAAUCCCCAAAACCAGUCCCAGUCCGGAUUGAAGUCUGCAACUCGACUUCAUGAAGUUGGAAUCGCUAGUAAUCGCGAAUCAGCAUGUCGCGGUGAAUACGUUCUCGGGUUUGUACACACCGCCCGUCA
This 1246-nucleotide ribosomal RNA is filed under the name 'Corchorus olitorius' phytoplasma. Its description in RNAcentral is "bacterial SSU rRNA". It matches the Rfam family "Bacterial small subunit ribosomal RNA", at positions 153 to 1399 of the family's 1533-position model. The record is from RNAcentral. Lineage: Bacteria; Bacillati; Mycoplasmatota; Mollicutes; Acholeplasmatales; Acholeplasmataceae.